Halichondria panicea is the source of this 7279-nucleotide RNA transcript. It is a transcript of the gene named piggyBac transposable element-derived protein 4-like, with no coding region annotated. The transcript is spliced from 4 exons. The record is from RefSeq and is a predicted model, not a curated record. NCBI's taxonomy places the organism in Eukaryota, Metazoa, Porifera, Demospongiae, Suberitida, Halichondriidae.
CCGUAGAAGUAGGGCUACCCCUGGCUUUACUGAAUUAACUAGCUGUGUCUGCUGUCUAGUUGGACCAGAUUUAGCUAGAUAAUGGGGUAGAGAAUAGUUGAGCGGUGCUGUGUGUAGCUUGAACUGUACUGGCUGGCAAGAAUCUAGUAAGCACCCUAUGCACUGAUAACUCGUCAGAAUGGAGGGUAUGUUCUAGGGAUCUGGACAGCUGUACAUCCAAAGGAGCCAGGGAGUGCCAAUCAUCUUCUCCCAGUCUCUGACACGCUAAACAAAAGGAGCUAGAACUGGGAGUCCCAGCUAGAAUUGCUAGCCGGAUCUAGACUAAUAGAAUGACUUGGAGGCGUGGUGAGGCCGGAUCCACACUAAUUGAUCGACCUAAAGACGCUCCUGUUCCAGAUUUCACGAAUGGCAAGGAAAGGGUUAUUUUUCAAAACUUUUGAAUCCAAAUGGAGCUGAUUGGACUCCUUGACACUGUCAGCGAGCUUGAGCACACUGUCAGAGAGCUUGAGGAGGACCAGGAAGUCUGUUAUGACCAUGACGAGCCCAGUGAUGACGAUUUUGAGACAGAUCUGGAGAGUGAUUCAGAUGCUGCAGUGGAGGAUGAUGACGAAAUGGUCGAUGGCAUGGCUCCGACUCCCAAACGGAGGAAGCUGGCGAGGGACAAUGGACUCCAAAAAGCUAAGUCCACAGGAAGAUACCCCGUCUUUGGCGGUGUGGUCGGUCCUGUCGAUCAACUUGAUCCGUCUGUAACUCCAUGCCUAGAUUUUGUUAAGUUACUUUGGCCCGAUAGUUUGUGUGAGUACAUAGCCGAACAGACCAACCUGUACGCUAGGCAGUGUGGUGCUAAGGGUUGGUCAGCUACAAACAGUGCCGAAUUGUGGGUGUUUUUGGGGAUUGUACUAGAGAUGGGCAUUCAUAGGCUCCCUGAAAUUACGGACUACUGGUCCAAGGAUCCCCUUUUAGGUGUACAAUGUGUGAGCAAUGUAAUGUCGCUCAAAAGGUUCCAAAGUUUAUGGCGGUAUCUGCACUGUGAGGACAAUACGUCCAUCACUGAUGCACGUAAGGUAACUAGCAAGCUAAAAACUGUUUUAGAGACUCUUAAAGCCAACUACUUCAUGAGGUAUAAUCCCAGUCAGGAGCUUUCCGUUGAUGAGAUGAUGAUAAAGUACAAGGGUCGUAAAAGCGGGAAAAUUCAUAUGCCCAAGAAGCCUGUUAAACUGGGGUUCAAGGUAUGGUGCUGCUCAUGUUCAUGCUGUGGGUAUCUCUGUGUGUUUGAUGUAUACAGUGGUAAGCUCACCGAUUCCUCUGGGAAAAAGAUAGCUGUGAAAGGGCUUGUGAAAAAUGUAGUCCAUCGUUUACUCACUCCUUUUUAUGGUCAUCAGCAUGUUGUGUACAUGGACAACUUUUACACGUCCGGUCCAUUGAUAGAAGAGUUGGCUAAGCAAAAUGUGUUUACUGUCGGCACAAUUUUGAAGAAUGCUGCUGGUUUCCCAGCAAGUCUUAAGGAUGUGGUACUCGACAAAGGUGACUAUACGUCCAUGACUGUUGGUGAUAUUUCUUACUCUAUGUUUAACGACCGUAGAGUUGUGUCCUUUGCAACAAAUGUGUUCCCUGACCAUAUGCCCCACACUGUAAUGCGAAUGCACAAAGACGGUACCCUACGCUCUCAGAGUGUCCCCCCCUGUCUCCCUGCAUAUAACAUGUACAUGGGAGGAGUUGACAAUACAGGGCGUAUGAGGAAAACCUAUGGGUACGAUAGAAAGUGUCGGCGGUAUUGGUUCAGGAUUUUCUUUCAAUUCCUUGACGUUAGUGUGAAUAAUGCAUACAUUCUAUACAGGCACAACUGUGUCAGGGUGGGUUCAAAGGCCAUGCCUUUGAAAGGGUUUCGAUUGGAACUAAUUCAUAGUCUAUUGGGUGUGCCACGUACUCGUAGCAGUGCCUCAGGUCUGGCCAGUCUAAAUAUCGUUUUCCCCCCAUCACAGGGCGCACGUGUGAGUGCAAAUAGUGUCGGAGUGUCUCGUGGGCGCUGUCAAGUGUGUGUUCGGGAGAAGAUCCCUAGCAGAGAGCAGCAACACACUGCAAUGGCAUGUCCCCACUGUCGCAUAAGAAUAUGCAAAGGACACUCUGUUAUCGGACACACAUGUGCUAGCUAAUGUGCUGUGUGACUGAUUUUUGUUAGAUGGUACUCUCCUGGUCUAAAUUGGCCUUGGAGAGGGGAGGAAAGGGGUAUUAUUUCAAUGAUUAAUAAAAUUGUGAUAAAGAAUUCAGUUGUAUAUGAGAGGCCCUAACCCACUCUGUUGUAAAUUCUGUUGUAAUUAUCUCUUUCCUUGGCAAUCUGUUGUAGAAAUUACAACAAUGGGUAAGGAAUCGUUAUGAUGAAUUAGAUGAAGUUGUAUGUGAGCUCCUCCCUGACAAACAAACUGUAGUCUAGGUAACCGCCUUAUCAGUCAAGUAGGCUAAAAAUCUGUGUCCUUUGAUGUAAGCUUUGAUGUCUCUUUGUGCAUAUGUAGUUAUAAAAAAAAAAAAAAAAAAAAAAAAGAAACCUUUGACUAGCUAGGAAGAGUAGCAGCAGUAGGCAGCAGUAGUAGUAGCAGUGCAAGCAGGACUAGACUAGAUUAAAAAGUUGGUGGAAAGAAUAACUGACCGUUUGGACGUCACCUGGCUGCCAGACUUUCAUCUGGACUCUUCCCCCUGAGUAGCUGGCCUUUCUCUAAGCCACAAAACUGAGCAAGAAGCUGAAGAAGCAGCUAGACAGAGACAUGUACCUAGCCUUGAGAAUUGGGAGGCGUGGCUCAACUAGUUAGCCCAGCCCAGAGGAAUUGUUACCGUGGGUACUGAACAACCGUAGAAGUAGGGCUACCCCUGGCUUUACUGAAUUAACUAGCUGUGUCUGCUGUCUAGUUGGACCAGAUUUAGCUAGAUAAUGGGGUAGAGAAUAGUUGAGCGGUGCUGUGUGUAGCUUGAACUGUACUGGCUGGCAAGAAUCUAGUAAGCACCCUAUGCACUGAUAACUCGUCAGAAUGGAGGGUAUGUUCUAGGGAUCUGGACAGCUGUACAUCCAAAGGAGCCAGGGAGUGCCAAUCAUCUUCUCCCAGUCUCUGACACGCUAAACAAAAGGAGCUAGAACUGGGAGUCCCAGCUAGAAUUGCUAGCCGGAUCUAGACUAAUAGAAUGACUUGGAGGCGUGGUGAGGCCGGAUCCACACUAAUUGAUCGACCUAAAGACGCUCCUGUUCCAGAUUUCACGAAUGGCAAGGAAAGGGUUAUUUUUCAAAACUUUUGAAUCCAAAUGGAGCUGAUUGGACUCCUUGACACUGUCAGCGAGCUUGAGCACACUGUCAGAGAGCUUGAGGAGGACCAGGAAGUCUGUUAUGACCAUGACGAGCCCAGUGAUGACGAUUUUGAGACAGAUCUGGAGAGUGAUUCAGAUGCUGCAGUGGAGGAUGAUGACGAAAUGGUCGAUGGCAUGGCUCCGACUCCCAAACGGAGGAAGCUGGCGAGGGACAAUGGACUCCAAAAAGCUAAGUCCACAGGAAGAUACCCCGUCUUUGGCGGUGUGGUCGGUCCUGUCGAUCAACUUGAUCCGUCUGUAACUCCAUGCCUAGAUUUUGUUAAGUUACUUUGGCCCGAUAGUUUGUGUGAGUACAUAGCCGAACAGACCAACCUGUACGCUAGGCAGUGUGGUGCUAAGGGUUGGUCAGCUACAAACAGUGCCGAAUUGUGGGUGUUUUUGGGGAUUGUACUAGAGAUGGGCAUUCAUAGGCUCCCUGAAAUUACGGACUACUGGUCCAAGGAUCCCCUUUUAGGUGUACAAUGUGUGAGCAAUGUAAUGUCGCUCAAAAGGUUCCAAAGUUUAUGGCGGUAUCUGCACUGUGAGGACAAUACGUCCAUCACUGAUGCACGUAAGGUAACUAGCAAGCUAAAAACUGUUUUAGAGACUCUUAAAGCCAACUACUUCAUGAGGUAUAAUCCCAGUCAGGAGCUUUCCGUUGAUGAGAUGAUGAUAAAGUACAAGGGUCGUAAAAGCGGGAAAAUUCAUAUGCCCAAGAAGCCUGUUAAACUGGGGUUCAAGGUAUGGUGCUGCUCAUGUUCAUGCUGUGGGUAUCUCUGUGUGUUUGAUGUAUACAGUGGUAAGCUCACCGAUUCCUCUGGGAAAAAGAUAGCUGUGAAAGGGCUUGUGAAAAAUGUAGUCCAUCGUUUACUCACUCCUUUUUAUGGUCAUCAGCAUGUUGUGUACAUGGACAACUUUUACACGUCCGGUCCAUUGAUAGAAGAGUUGGCUAAGCAAAAUGUGUUUACUGUCGGCACAAUUUUGAAGAAUGCUGCUGGUUUCCCAGCAAGUCUUAAGGAUGUGGUACUCGACAAAGGUGACUAUACGUCCAUGACUGUUGGUGAUAUUUCUUACUCUAUGUUUAACGACCGUAGAGUUGUGUCCUUUGCAACAAAUGUGUUCCCUGACCAUAUGCCCCACACUGUAAUGCGAAUGCACAAAGACGGUACCCUACGCUCUCAGAGUGUCCCCCCCUGUCUCCCUGCAUAUAACAUGUACAUGGGAGGAGUUGACAAUACAGGGCGUAUGAGGAAAACCUAUGGGUACGAUAGAAAGUGUCGGCGGUAUUGGUUCAGGAUUUUCUUUCAAUUCCUUGACGUUAGUGUGAAUAAUGCAUACAUUCUAUACAGGCACAACUGUGUCAGGGUGGGUUCAAAGGCCAUGCCUUUGAAAGGGUUUCGAUUGGAACUAAUUCAUAGUCUAUUGGGUGUGCCACGUACUCGUAGCAGUGCCUCAGGUCUGGCCAGUCUAAAUAUCGUUUUCCCCCCAUCACAGGGCGCACGUGUGAGUGCAAAUAGUGUCGGAGUGUCUCGUGGGCGCUGUCAAGUGUGUGUUCGGGAGAAGAUCCCUAGCAGAGAGCAGCAACACACUGCAAUGGCAUGUCCCCACUGUCGCAUAAGAAUAUGCAAAGGACACUCUGUUAUCGGACACACAUGUGCUAGCUAAUGUGCUGUGUGACUGAUUUUUGUUAGAUGGUACUCUCCUGGUCUAAAUUGGCCUUGGAGAGGGGAGGAAAGGGGUAUUAUUUCAAUGAUUAAUAAAAUUGUGAUAAAGAAUUCAGUUGUAUAUGAGAGGCCCUAACCCACUCUGUUGUAAAUUCUGUUGUAAUUAUUUUUCAAAACUUUUGAAUCCAAAUGGAGCUGAUUGGACUCCUUGACACUGUCAGCGAGCUUGAGCACACUGUCAGAGAGCUUGAGGAGGACCAGGAAGUCUGUUAUGACCAUGACGAGCCCAGUGAUGACGAUUUUGAGACAGAUCUGGAGAGUGAUUCAGAUGCUGCAGUGGAGGAUGAUGACGAAAUGGUCGAUGGCAUGGCUCCGACUCCCAAACGGAGGAAGCUGGCGAGGGACAAUGGACUCCAAAAAGCUAAGUCCACAGGAAGAUACCCCGUCUUUGGCGGUGUGGUCGGUCCUGUCGAUCAACUUGAUCCGUCUGUAACUCCAUGCCUAGAUUUUGUUAAGUUACUUUGGCCCGAUAGUUUGUGUGAGUACAUAGCCGAACAGACCAACCUGUACGCUAGGCAGUGUGGUGCUAAGGGUUGGUCAGCUACAAACAGUGCCGAAUUGUGGGUGUUUUUGGGGAUUGUACUAGAGAUGGGCAUUCAUAGGCUCCCUGAAAUUACGGACUACUGGUCCAAGGAUCCCCUUUUAGGUGUACAAUGUGUGAGCAAUGUAAUGUCGCUCAAAAGGUUCCAAAGUUUAUGGCGGUAUCUGCACUGUGAGGACAAUACGUCCAUCACUGAUGCACGUAAGGUAACUAGCAAGCUAAAAACUGUUUUAGAGACUCUUAAAGCCAACUACUUCAUGAGGUAUAAUCCCAGUCAGGAGCUUUCCGUUGAUGAGAUGAUGAUAAAGUACAAGGGUCGUAAAAGCGGGAAAAUUCAUAUGCCCAAGAAGCCUGUUAAACUGGGGUUCAAGGUAUGGUGCUGCUCAUGUUCAUGCUGUGGGUAUCUCUGUGUGUUUGAUGUAUACAGUGGUAAGCUCACCGAUUCCUCUGGGAAAAAGAUAGCUGUGAAAGGGCUUGUGAAAAAUGUAGUCCAUCGUUUACUCACUCCUUUUUAUGGUCAUCAGCAUGUUGUGUACAUGGACAACUUUUACACGUCCGGUCCAUUGAUAGAAGAGUUGGCUAAGCAAAAUGUGUUUACUGUCGGCACAAUUUUGAAGAAUGCUGCUGGUUUCCCAGCAAGUCUUAAGGAUGUGGUACUCGACAAAGGUGACUAUACGUCCAUGACUGUUGGUGAUAUUUCUUACUCUAUGUUUAACGACCGUAGAGUUGUGUCCUUUGCAACAAAUGUGUUCCCUGACCAUAUGCCCCACACUGUAAUGCGAAUGCACAAAGACGGUACCCUACGCUCUCAGAGUGUCCCCCCCUGUCUCCCUGCAUAUAACAUGUACAUGGGAGGAGUUGACAAUACAGGGCGUAUGAGGAAAACCUAUGGGUACGAUAGAAAGUGUCGGCGGUAUUGGUUCAGGAUUUUCUUUCAAUUCCUUGACGUUAGUGUGAAUAAUGCAUACAUUCUAUACAGGCACAACUGUGUCAGGGUGGGUUCAAAGGCCAUGCCUUUGAAAGGGUUUCGAUUGGAACUAAUUCAUAGUCUAUUGGGUGUGCCACGUACUCGUAGCAGUGCCUCAGGUCUGGCCAGUCUAAAUAUCGUUUUCCCCCCAUCACAGGGCGCACGUGUGAGUGCAAAUAGUGUCGGAGUGUCUCGUGGGCGCUGUCAAGUGUGUGUUCGGGAGAAGAUCCCUAGCAGAGAGCAGCAACACACUGCAAUGGCAUGUCCCCACUGUCGCAUAAGAAUAUGCAAAGGACACUCUGUUAUCGGACACACAUGUGCUAGCUAAUGUGCUGUGUGACUGAUUUUUGUUAGAUGGUACUCUCCUGGUCUAAAUUGGCCUUGGAGAGGGGAGGAAAGGGGUAUUAUUUCAAUGAUUAAUAAAAUUGUGAUAAAGAAUUCAGUUGUAUAUGAGAGGCCCUAACCCACUCUGUUGUAAAUUCUGUUGUAAUUAUCUCUUUCCUUGGCAAUCUGUUGUAGAAAUUACAACAAUGGGUAAGGAAUCGUUAUGAUGAAUUAGAUGAAGUUGUAUGUGAGCUCCUCCCUGACAAACAAACUGUAGUCUAGGUAACCGCCUUAUCAGUCAAGUAGGCUAAAAAUCUGUGUCCUUUGAUGUAAGCUUUGAUGUCUCUUUGUGCAUAUGUAGUUAUAAAAAAAAAAAAAAAAAAAAAAAAGAAA